GAUCCUGGCUCAGGAUGAACGCUGGCGGACGUGCCUAAUACAUGCAAGUAGAACGCUGAAGGAGGAGCUUGCUCUUUCCGGAUGAGUUGCGAACGGGUGAGUAACGCGUAGGUAACCUGCCUGGUAGCGGGGGAUAACUAUUGGAAACGAUAGCUAAUACCGCAUAACAGUAGAUAUUGCAUGAUAUCUGCUUGAAAGGUGCAAUUGCAUCACUACCAGAUGG
RNAcentral lists this ribosomal RNA (223 nucleotides) under uncultured bacterium. RNAcentral's name for it is "partial 16S ribosomal RNA". It matches the Rfam family "Bacterial small subunit ribosomal RNA", at positions 15 to 228 of the family's 1533-position model. The record is from RNAcentral.